GGCCAAAUGGUGUUAAAAAAGGAUAGAAAUUUCUUUAUGUAUGCAACAACAGCAGCAAGAAUACUCAUCGCAAAGUACUGGAAGACACAAGAACUUCCCACGCUGGAGGAAUGGCAGAUGAAACUUAUGGACUAUAUGGAACUGGCUGAAAUGACUGGUAGAAUCCGUGACCAGGGAGAAGAGUCGAUGGAGGAAGACUGGAAGAAGUUCAAAGACUAUCUUCAGAAACACUGCAAAAUUAAGGAAUGUUAGAGUGAUGUUGGACUGAAAACAAGUGGUUUCCAGCUGCACAGGUUAAAGUUAAGGAUAGAUUAAGAUUAAAGAUUAAGAUUAAAGAUGUUUAAAGAAAUGGAAAUUUGAUAUUAAAAGGGAAAACUUUAAAGUUAUAUGAUAUUAAGAUCAAGGAUUAGGUUUAAAAAAGUUGAAGUUAUAUAUUUCAACAUUUUAUUAAAUUAAAGAUAGGGAUUAAAAAAGUGGAAAAGAAACUGCUGGACAAAUAAUGUGAACUAGAAUACAAAAGAGGGAGGUAUGAGGAAGUCUAGAAAAUAAGUAAUUUAAAAUUGGAAAUGGAAAAGAGAGUUUGUUUUUAAUUGUUGUGCUUUGUGUUUUUAUUGUUAAGUUUUGUAUUGUUUUUUGUGUGUGUGUGUGUUUUUUGUUUUGUUGUUUAAAACUUU
Non-coding RNA from Podarcis lilfordi (Lilford's wall lizard), 674 nucleotides. The record is from the annotation of a GenBank genome assembly. Lineage: Eukaryota; Metazoa; Chordata; Lepidosauria; Squamata; Lacertidae.